UACGGGGGGGCAAGCGUUGUUCGGAAUUACUGGGCGUAAAGGGCUCGUAGGUUGCCAACUAAGUCAGACGUGAAAUCCCUCGGCUUAACCGGGGAACUGCGUCUGAUACUGGAUGGCUUGAGUUUGGGAGAGGGAUGCGGAAUUCCAGGUGUAGCGGUGAAAUGCGUAGAUAUCUGGAGGAACACCGGUGGCGAAGGCGGCAUCCUGGACCGGUAUUGACGCUGAUGCGCGAAAGCCAGGGGAGCAAACGGG
Molecule: ribosomal RNA, 252 nt
Filed under: uncultured bacterium
Lineage: Bacteria
Description: partial 16S ribosomal RNA
Rfam family: Bacterial small subunit ribosomal RNA
Source: RNAcentral